This 73-nucleotide transfer RNA is filed under the name Porphyropsis coccinea. Its description in RNAcentral is "tRNA-Trp". It matches the Rfam family "tRNA". From Rfam's summary of the family: Transfer RNA (tRNA) molecules are approximately 80 nucleotides in length. Lineage: Eukaryota; Rhodophyta; Compsopogonophyceae; Erythropeltidales; Erythrotrichiaceae. The record is from RNAcentral. RNAcentral also lists the same sequence under 1 other name.
ACGUCCUUAGUUCAGUUGGUAGAACGUAGGUUUCCAAAACCUAAUGCCGAGGGUUCAAGUCCUUCAGGACGUG